AUACCUUUCUGGGCCUUUUGGCUAAGAUUAAGUGUAGUAUAUGUUCUUAUCAGUUUAAUAUCUGACUAGCGAAAGGGGCCGUGCGUUGCAACGGGAGAAAAAAAUACCACACGCUUUUAAUCUUUUUAUAAUCAUUUUAAUUUAUUAAAAUAAUAAGCUAACUAACUAAUGUAGUCAGUCCUAU
Molecule: small nuclear RNA, 184 nt
Filed under: Hordeum vulgare
Lineage: Eukaryota; Viridiplantae; Streptophyta; Magnoliopsida; Poales; Poaceae
Description: U2 spliceosomal RNA
Rfam family: U2 spliceosomal RNA
About the family: U2 is a small nuclear RNA (snRNA) component of the spliceosome (involved in pre-mRNA splicing).
Source: RNAcentral